Molecule: long non-coding RNA, 8553 nt
Filed under: Gossypium barbadense (sea-island cotton)
Lineage: Eukaryota; Viridiplantae; Streptophyta; Magnoliopsida; Malvales; Malvaceae
Description: long non-coding RNA (GBAR_LNC022900)
Source: RNAcentral
AAGAUCAAUGAUACAUUUCCUCAUUGGUUGGGCAGUCUUCCAUUUUUGCAAGUUCUUGUAUUGAAGUCAAAUCAUAUGCAUGGUUCCUUGCGUGUCAAUAGCUCCAAGUCUAGCCCUUUUUUCUCUAAAAUCCAAAUUUUUGAUCUCUCGAGUAAUUAUUUUUCUGGACCUCUACCUGUGAGAUACAUCAACAGCUUCAAGGCUAUCAUAAAUCUAGAUAAGAUUGGGAGUACAAUGUCGUACAUGGGGGUGUAUGCUCAGAGAGGUAGUGGCUUCUAUACCUAUUCCAUUGGAAUUGUUAUGAAAGGACAAGAUAUGGAAUUGGUGAAAAUUUUCACCAUGUGGAUGAUCAUUGAUCUAUCAAACAAUCAGUUUGAAGGGUGUAUUCCAGAGGUUUUUGGGAAGCUUAACUUACUGAAAGGGCUCAACCUUUCUCAUAACAACCUUCAUGGUGGUAUCCCCACCUCAAUAGGGAAUUUGACAAGUCUUGAAUGGUUGGACCUAUCUUCAAACAGGUUGUCUGGGACGAUUCCAAAUAGAUUGGCAGAUCUGGCAUUUCUUUCGUCCUUCAAUGUUUCUGAUAAUCAGCUCCAUGGUCAGAUUCCUCAAGGCAAACAGUUCAACACAUUUGGAAAUGAUUCAUAUGAAGGAAACAAGGGAUUAUGUGGAUUUCCAGUCUCGAAAGGUUGCAACAUCAUUGAGCCACCACCUCCAAAUGUGCUUGAAAAAGAUGGCUCAAAAUCAAACAUUACUUUUGGUUGGAAAGUGGUGUUGAUAGGUUAUGGAUGCGGAGUGGUGUUGGGAAUGUCCGUGGGAUAUGUUGUUUUCCAAACUGGUAAGCCGAAAUGGUUGGUGAAUUUGGUUGAAAUCCAACAUGAGAAGAAGCAAAGACGAAAGUCAAAGAAAGGCAAUCGAAGCAAUAGACGAAGAAGGAUCUAAGUACAGCAAAUGAUGUUCAAGAAUUAGUGUUGUAUUUUCAAAAUUUCUUGUUCUGUAGACCGUUUUGCCCAUGGUGAAGGGUUGCAUUGGUAUGUGUAUGUCUUUAUUAUUGUACCAAUUCCUGUCUUUCAUUGCAUUUCGUACUAUCUGUAAUGGUUUGUUUGAGUGUAACAUUUUGUAUGGUAUUGUUGUUUAUGUCUUCUUUCAUGACUUUCCAUUUAGUCUCGAUAAUCUUUGCUACUGCUCAGUAAAGGAGGAAGGAGAAUAAAAUGUCUCAAUUUAUGUCAAUUUAUGCUUGCAGAUUUGACGUGGAAUGUUGUUGAACUGAAGGUUGUUUAACUUUUGUCUUCUAAGCUAUACAUGAACAUAUGGGAUGUGACAAAUAUUAUUUUAGCUUUUGCUUAUGAAAUGUUGAAAUAGUGAGUUUAUAUUCCUUGAUUAAUAAAAAGUGAGAUGGAGAUAGUCAAACCUCAAUUUCCACAUUGAAAUUGAAUCCAAACAUUAAUUGGUGGAUCACAUGUCUUGUAUUCUGUCAAGUUAAAGGGAGUGAAUAGAGCACCAUUCUUCUUCUGCGUGGAAAAUAAGUUGGCGUUAUGCCAAUUUUCACAUUCAUACAUAUAAAGGAAGCAAGACCAAGUCAAUAUACUUUGUAAUCUCAUCAUUUCUUCUUCAUUCUUUAGGGAGUUCAAAUGAAAUACAAAUUUUUGGUAAAUCAACUCUUCUUUUUUAUGAAUAAAAAUUAUAUGGUAAAAAGGAAGUGGUGUUAAUAAUAAUAAUAAUAAUAAUAAUAACAACAACAAUACAAAACUAAUAAAGCAAUUUAGUCUAUGAUUUGCACAAUGAUUAAUGUAGCGACCUAAAAAUUUAGGCACGAGCGCUAAUUGAAGUGAUUAUUGAAAAUUUGAAAACAGAAUCUCGAUUUUAUUUGAAAAAGGAGUCGCUAUCGAUCUUUUUUUCUAGGUGUGAUCGGACACCUAAUAAAUUCUCUUUUUAGAAGAAAAAUUUAUUUUUAAAUUUUUCUAAAAAUAGGUAAUUUUUCUAAAAAAUUUAGGGGUCAAAAUGUAAUUUUUUAUUUUUUGAAUUUUUUUUGAAAUUUAAAAAAAUAUAUAUAUAUAAACACGACAAAACCCGGACAAAAUUUAGUGCUUACAAUUAAUACCUAAUUUGAUCCUUGAAUUAUAGUUCAAAAAGUAUUUUUAUAUUUUUAAAUUUUCAUAAAAAUAAUUGUAUCAAAAUUUAAAAAUCUUAAAAAUAAAUACAAAUUUUAUAUAAAAAAUCAAUUGGCCCAAGAAAAAAAAUUUACCAACUAAAUUUUCCAUAUCCAAACUCAUAAAUAAUUCUUCUUUGAACUUUCACAAAAAAAUAUUAAAUACCCUUUCACUUUAUCAUUAUAAAUAUAAUAUACAUUUUUUUCCUUCUUUUUCAUGUAGAUCAGCUUCAACUCUACUAUUCUUAGAUCAUUAUAAAUAUAAUAUAUGUUUUAUUUACAGCUGAAAGUAAAACCUUGAGUUGAAAUUUGGCAGAAAAAAUUGUGGGUUUGGAGAAGAAGAAGAGCACUUUGUAUUUAAAUUUAAAAAAUCAAAAAUUUCAAAACUGAAAGUUACUCAAAACCCUAAACAAUCUAAUAAUUGGAGUUAUAGAAAAGAAAUAUGAGUUUAGAAAUAAAUAAAACAAAAUAAAUUUGCAAAACAAUUUCUAGGCAAAACAACAUGAAGUUGUUGAUGUGAUUGAAGGUGUUCUUCAACGGUGGAAAACAAAUAGAAUUUAAUUUGAAAAUUUUAAGAUUUUUUAAAUAAUAAAAAAUUGCAUUAGUUUAAAAACUUUAGUUUUAAUUUUAAGAUAUUUUUAGAUUUAUACAUAUUUAAUUAUUUUUAGAUUUUUUAGAUUUAAAUGAAGUUACAAUUAUUUUUGAAAACGGUACCUCUACAUUUUUGAAGGUACAAGGAAAUAAAAUAUGGAUUUGGUAUCGAUACUUCGGCCCGAGUAUCAAUGCUCGAGGUAAGUUUAUUGAUACCUUGCGAAAGGUACCAAUAAUUUUUUUAUAUUUUGAUAUUUGGUAAGAAACAUAAUGUUAGUUUGGUAUCGAUUUUCCAUGAGAUAUCAAUACCACUUAAAGAAAAUAUCGAUAGCCCUAGGACAGUAUCAAUACCUAUGUAACAGUUUUAGAAAUUUUGCAACUGGGCCCAUUUGUAGGUUUGAUUGAUGUUUUUAAUACCCUUAGUGUAUGUAUGGCAUGUUUUAAUGAUAAGAAGUGGUUGAACGACUACAACUCAUACGUAGGAUUGAAUAAAGAUGAUGAUUGGUUACUUGUGAAAUUGUUUGCUAAGUAAAUGAUGCAUGAUGGUGGUGUAACAUCCUAAUAUUUCGGCUUGGCGACUGAGCCGAGUAUAGGGUGUUACAAUGUGUUCCACAAGUUUCAUCAGCAAUCCUCAAUGCAUCUAAUUAAUUGGGAAAAUUGAGAAAAUAGAAAUGGUCAAGAAGAUGUAACAUGAUGAGUACCUCUUUGCACCGUCAAGAAUUUUAGUAAGUCUCCAAAUUCAUUCAUUAACCCUCCUUCCUGUUAAAUAUUUAUCAUUAAUUUUAUUAAAUUAAAACAUAAAUUUUUAUAAAUCUAAAGUGUAAUUUAUGAGCCGGGUUAUUCAAUCCAAAAAAAAAAAAUCAGCCAAGACUCUUUGGACAAAUUGCUUGAGUAAAACCAGAAAAUGAAUAACAAUUUUGAUGGAUUUUGAUUACAAAUGAAUUGAGGCAUAAUGCCAUUACAUAUACCAUGCAUUCAGCUGGUCAAAAUGAGACAGACAUCACCUAAUCAUCAACCUAACUCCACUAAGUAGCCUUGAAACUUAUGAAAACAUAACUUGCACACAUAGGUACGCUGAUUUAUCAAUCUAUCAGCACCUAAUUACAUCAAACAUGUUACCAACUUAGUUCAAAUCAAACUAAGCAAGAAAACAUUAACUUAAAGUAACAAAAAAUGAACAGCAGCAUGAACUUCAGCUGCAACUGCAUGGCUGGAGCAGCUCUGCUUCUUGUCUGCAUGCCGGCCAACUUCAACAAGAUCUGAGUAAGGCUAAUUUGUCCAGAAGUUGCAUCAUGCAAAACUAUUUAAUGGCUUUUAGGUAGCUUUGUCAACGGCAAAAAAAAUGAGAAAAUUAGUCAAAUUUCUUCCAUUUUUAUCUUUAAAAAUUUGGUUUUGUGCGUCAACAUGAAGUACAUGUGGCACGUACAUGCAAACUGUCUGAUUAUUUAGACAUCUACACUAGUUUUUAAAGGUAAAAAUAGAAGAAAAUUUUAAUAAACAAGACCAAUUAACUCUUUUAUCUAGCAUACAAGAAUUAUUCUAUACAUCUUUCAAUAAAUGGGGAAAAUUACAUCCACACAUUCUCCACAUUUCAGACCUGUAAUUCUAGCCAAUUGGUCACAAGCAUACAUGUCCCAUUUCAAUAUUCAAAGGUCUGCUUUGAUUAUUUUAUUUUGUGUUCUGUUGUCGCCCCAAAAUAGUUCCACUUGGCACAUCUCCAUACAUUUCAAACAUACCAAAAAUCUGCUGGCAAGCAAUACAAGACAAGUUCCAGCCACUUCAACAUUUGGCUCCUGUUCAUUGCCAAAAGAAAAAAAUAAACAUUUUUUAUAUUUAAUUGAAGGUCAAAAACACAUAAAAAGACAACCGGACAGCUAGUAUUUCAUCCAAUCUUCACAACAUGUCUGUGUGCGUGCAGAUCCUUCACUUCCCAGAAGCCUUUAGCGCGUAUUCUAUUAUAAAAUCACAGAUUACUAUUUAAAUGAUAAAUAAAUUAUUUAAAGUAUGAAAAUAUACAUGUUUUUUUUUAUUGGCUUAAGGGCGUAAAAAAUCCUUAAAUUUUUUUUUUAAAAAAGACAAUUAAAUUUCUCCUUUUUUUACACUCAAUUGAGCACUUAAAGUUUUAAAAUGCAUCAAAAAUACUCUCAAACUUCUUCCGAAAAAACAAUUAAAUCCUUAUUUUCUUUCCCACUCAAUUGGGUGCUUGAACUUUUUCAUAAUAUUUUUUUGGGCGAUUUAAUGAACCAUACAAGUUUCAAGGCUAAAAGAGGCAAAAGAAAAAGAAAAAGAAAAAGAAGCUAAAAUGACUUUUUGUUUGUAAAGUCAAAAAAUACCAAAUAAAUCAUUAUGUCUUUUUAGUUUUAAUUUUUUACUUGAUUAAAAGAGAAAUAAUUAACGAAUGAAAAAUAGCUAUUCCUAAAUAAAUUUAUCAGAAUUUAUAACAAAUGAGAUUUUAGAUUUGAAGUAUGAGGUUAUAUAUAUUAUAUAAGUAUACCUGUUUUUAUGGAAUCGGUGGAUUAUAUUUUCGACAGUCUUCUUCCCCAAGCGUAGUGAAUAGAGCACAAUUUUGUUCUUUUGGAUGGAAAAGAAUUUCUACAUUAAUUAGAUUUGGUUGACAGGCAAAUGAAUAGAUACACACAUUUUUUACGUGUUAUUAAGGAAGAAGACUAAGUCAAUCUACUUUGUAAUCUCAUCAAUCUUAAUUUUUUUAGUUGUUUAGGGAGUUCAAAUGAAAUACAAGAUUUUGCUAUAAAAAAAAAAAGCAUCCAAUUUUAAGAAUGAAAAAUAUACGGUAAAAAGAAGACUAAUGGUUGUUGAUGAUUGUGAAAAAUACAAAAAUUAUUUGUUGCCUAUAAAUACCAUUCCUAUCCUUCAUCUUCCUCUACAAACAUAACAUGGCCUCCUAUCUCUUUCUCUGCCUAUUCCUCUUCUUUCCCCAUCUUUAUGCUUCUUUUUCUUCUUCAGGAUCUCACUCCUGCUCUUCGCUAAUCCAGUUCAAGAAUUCUUUUUCCAUCACUCAGACAGAUGUUGCUUCUUCUUAUUGCGAUGAUCAAUCUUAUCCCAAGACAGAUUCAUGGAAGGAGGGUACAGAUUGCUGCUCAUGGGAUGGGGUCACUUGUGACCACCUAAAUGCUCGUGUUAUUGUCCUUGACUUGAGUUGCAGUUGGCUAUAUGGCAACUUCCCUUCCAAUACCACUCUCUUCCUUCUUCCUCACCUUCAAAAACUCAACCUUGCCUACAAUUAUUUUAAUCUUUCCAAAAUUCCAUCCGAGUUCGGUCGGUUUAUAAGCCUAUUCUACCUCAACCUUUCCAAUACAGGGUUUGCAGGAGAAGUCCCAUCCCAAGUCUCCCACCUGUCAAAAUUGGUUUCACUUGAUCUCUCCUGUCGGGCUGAUGCACAAACAAUUGACAAACAUGCUCUGGAGGGACUUGUUCACAACCUAACCGAGGUCAGACAUCUGUUUUUGGAUGGAAUCAACAUGUCUUCUGUUAAUGCUCAUGUCUUCAUGAAUCUAUCCUCUUCUCUAAGGUCUCUCAGUCUUGCUUUUUGUGAUUUGCAAGGAAAAUUCCCAAAAAACAUUUUUGAUUUGCCAAACCUCAAUCUCCUCAACUUGGGAGGCAACCAAAACCUCAAUCUUGAUCCUUUGAAGUUCAAUCGGAGCAGCAAUCUUGAACAUUUGGAUCUGUCGUGGAUGUCCUCCUCUACAGAAAUUGAUUCAGUUGAUAAUCUACAGGCCUUAAAGUACUUAGAUCUAUCAGGAAAUUCUUUCUUUCAAGGAUUGUCUGUCUCAAUCACAAAUUUAUCAUCUUUGGAGUACUUGAUUCUUAGAGGCGCAAAUGUUUUUGGAGGAUUGCCUGACUUGACGGGGAAUCUUGUGUCCUUGAAGUUUUUAGAUCUCUCCCAGUCCAACUUAUCAGGACCGGUUCCAAGAUCACUGGGAACCUCUUGCAACUCACUCAUUUAGACUUGUCGCAGAACCAAUUGAGUGGACAAAUUCCAAGAUUAUUGGGGAACCUCUUUCAACUCACUCAUUUAGACUUGUCGUGGAACCAAUUGAGUGGACAAAUUCCAAGAUCAUUGGGGAACCUCUUGCAACUCACUCAUUUAGAUUUGUCGAUGAACCAAUUGAGUGGACAAAUUCCAAGAUCAUUGGGGAUCAUUGGGGAACAUCUUGCAACUCACUCAUUUACUUGUCGGUGAACCAAUUGAGUGGACAAAUUCCAAGAUCAUUGGGGAACCUCUUGCAACUCACUCAUUUAGACUUGUCGGUGAACCAAUUGAGUGGACAAAUUCCAAGAUCAUUGGGGAACCUCUUGCAACUCACUCAUUUAGACUUAUUGGUGAACCAAUUGAGCGGACAAAUUCCAAGAUCAUUGGGGAACCUCUUGCAACUCACUCAUUUACAGUUGCCGGUGAACCAAUUGAGUGGAAAAAUUCCAAGAUCAUUGGGGAACCUCUUGCAUCUCACUCAUUUACACUUGCCGAUGAACCAAUUGAGUGGACAAAUUCCAUUGUCAAUUCUAAACCUAACGCAGCUGGAAUACUUUGUAAUAUCUAAAAAUUCUUUAGAAGGUUCCAUUCCAGAUGAGGUAACCGCUUUUCCUAAUCUAAUAUAUUUACACUUAAAUGACAAUUUACUCAAUGGAACAUUUCCGUCAUGGUUGUUUACUGCUCCCUCCUUAAAGGAAAUAUAUCUCUCUCAAAAUCAAUUCAGUGGGCAUAUCAAAGAAUUCCAAUCCAAAUCACUAGAAUUGAUAGCGUUACAGAAUAAUAAACUCCAUGGUUCUCUUCCAUCUUCAAUAUUCCAACUUCUCAAUCUUACCGACCUCGUUUUAUCCUCAAAUAAUCUUAGUGGUGUCAUAGAGUUUCGCAUGUUCUCAAACCUUCCAAAUCUAAAACAUCUCGACCUUUCAUAUAACAGCCUAUCCUUAACAUCUAAUACUACUUCUACUGUUAAUCAUAUAUUGCCUAAUCUUACAGGCUUACUUUUGUCAUCUUGCAAUCUUGGUGAAUUCCCCCAAUUUUUAAAAGGGCUUAAAAGUUUGGAAAGCUUAGACCUCUCUUGCAACAAAAUUGAAGGCAAGAUUCCACAGUGGAUGCAAGAGGUGGGGAAUGUCUCUUUGACUUACUUAAACGUAUCUCACAACUCUUUGACGAAGUUGAGCACUUUCCAUGGAAGAAUAUUGAAUUUCUUGACUUAAGCUCCAAUUUGAUCAGUGGAAAUCUUCCGAUUCCAGCUUCGACCAUCAAUGUCUUUUUGAUCUCAAAUAAUAGUUUCAAUGGAGAGGUCUCUUCUUUAAUAUGCAAUGCCAGUUCUCUUCGAAUUCUUGAUUUGUCCCACAAUAACUUGAGUGGAACAAUUCCGCAAUGUUUUGGAAAUUUGAGCAACAGCCUUGAAUUCUUGAAUCUGAAGAAGAACAUGUUUUAUGGGACGAUUCCUCCAACAUUUGCAAAGGGAUGCCAAUGGAGUAAUUUCAACUUAAAUGGAAAUUUGUUAGAAGGGCCUUUGACACCAUCCAUCCUUAAUUGUAAUGGUCUGGAAGUGCUAGAUCUUGGUAACAACAAGAUCAAUGAUACAUUUCCUCAUUGGUUGGGAAAUCUUCCAUAUUUGCAAGUUCUUGUAUUGAAGUUAAAUCAUAUGCAUGAUUCCUUGCGUGUCAAUAGCUCCAAGUCUAGCCCUUUUUUCUCUAAAAUCCAAAUUUUUGACCUCUCAAGUAAUUAUUUUACUGGACCCCUACCAGUGAGAUACAUCAACAGCUUCAAGGCUAUCAUAAAUCUAGAGAAGAUUGGGAGUACAUUGUUGUACAUGGGGGUG